CCUGACAAAAUAAUGCAAAUUUGAAGAGUUCAUAAACAUAAAAAGAACUAACUACUAAUUAAGGUAUAGACUAGAAGAAAUAAUAAAAAUUAAAAUGUAAUAUAAUACUUAGCUACCUACGUUUCGCUACUUCAUACUGAACUGAACCGGAGCCUGACAAUGCACCACACGACCUUUUUCUGAUUAUGUAAAACGCCAUGAAUAGAAUAGAAUUGAUCACAUCUCACAAGGAAGGAGGAGUGAUAUCGCCAAGAAGAAAUUACUGUCUCAAUGCGUAAAAUAUUACUCUACGAAGCAAGAAGGCUAAGAAUAAAGAAAGAAAAGAAAGCAAAACAUAAACGCAAGACGCAAAUAGUAGUUCACGACACGACAAGUUCAUCAGUAUCAUGGGAUUAUCGACAUUGGACUUGAAAUCUCAGUUGCAGUUCCGGUAUUGGAUUGACGACAGCAGUCAACUAUCGAUGAACACUGAUUUGAAGAUGCUUGACGUUCUACAGAGGAAGCAAGAAAAUAAUAAUUAGAGUUAUUUACAGAUUAAAACAUAGUAGUUAUGCACUUUUAUUCAAAUUAAUAUUGUUUACUGAUCAGUAAUAAUAACAUAACCCAAGACUUGUAGCAGCUUAUGCUGAACCUCAUCAUGGCUCUUUUGUUUUUUUUUCUUUAUUUUUCAUUUUCUAAUAUUAAUUUAGUGAACAUAAAAUGCAAGCUACUCGGAUAUUUAGGUGACUUAGGACUGAUUUCUUAAUCGUUGAAUAUCUGCUAAAGAAUAAACAUUUUGACAUAUCUCAUACUAUUCUUCAGUUAAAAGUUAUACGACGAUUGAGAAAUCAGCCCAUAAGUUUUUUUUAAAACUGAGGUGGAAUUGUGUAAAGCAAUCGUUAUCAUUUGACAGUUACGUACGUAACAUAACGUACGAUUAUUCUGUCAAACACUUUAACUGAUUUUAUCGUACGUUAUGAACUGUCAAAUGAUUACGAUUGCUUUACACAAUUCCACCUCUGAUCCAGAUUCUUUUUUAUAUUUUCA
Long non-coding RNA from Ostrinia nubilalis (European corn borer), 1026 nucleotides. RefSeq lists it as uncharacterized. The record is from RefSeq and is a predicted model, not a curated record. The transcript has 4 exons. Lineage: Eukaryota; Metazoa; Arthropoda; Insecta; Lepidoptera; Crambidae.